UGCUCAUUUCUGCAACAAUACAGUAAAACUGAAACUAUACAGGAUUAGCGUGGCCCCAUACAAGGACAGCAUGGAAGUUUGCGAAGAUUUCCGUAUUUUU
RNAcentral lists this small nuclear RNA (100 nucleotides) under Nannospalax galili (Upper Galilee mountains blind mole rat). Lineage: Eukaryota; Metazoa; Chordata; Mammalia; Rodentia; Spalacidae. The record is from RNAcentral.